Molecule: ribosomal RNA, 43 nt
Filed under: Centrocestus sp. PWK-2013
Lineage: Eukaryota; Metazoa; Platyhelminthes; Trematoda; Opisthorchiida; Heterophyidae
Description: partial 28S ribosomal RNA
Source: RNAcentral
UGACCUCGGAUCAGACGUGAAUACCCGCUGAANUUAAGCAUGC